UCUGCAUCUGUGUUUCCCUGUAUAACAAUAUACCAGGAUCCCUGGCUUCUGCACACUUCCUAGGAGAGUUCAGAAACGUCAAGCAGCACAAGCAUACCCUCGGAUUUGAUCCAGAUGGCUUAUGACUCCAUCUAUUUUGGCAGCUGUUAUAAAAAGAAGUUACCUCUGUGCCCUCUGGUGGUGAAUGUAAAGGAAAUUAGAAAUAUGGCCAUAAUAAUCACCCGUACAAUUUCAGAUUGCCUGGCAGGAAAUCUUCCCUUCUCUUCUCUUCACUCCCAUCACAGUGAGUUUGCCUCUGAUCCACAAUUUGACUGGAAGGAAAGAAGGCCAAGAGGGCAGUUUCUAGGAAAAAGAAGAGGAAGAGAUUCUUCUAAUGCGAAGCUGGACAUAUUGGCUGCAAUCCUGCAUGGAUUGGCAUAAUGUAAAGAAUUCAUUUGAAAUGUUCCAGGCUUGAAGAAGCGCACAAGCUGUACCAAAAAGAGACCCUUUUGAAUUUGGCUUUGUUGGUUCCAGGCUCAUGGUUGUUCCAGAAGCCAGGUGUCGGAAGGAGAACUCACAAACACUUGCUCACACACUUCUUUCUUGGCACCUUCCUUGCCAUGGAAAAAAGUGGAGGAGGGAUGAUGAUGCUGAAGUCCUUGGCAUGCAGUUAACAAAGCCUCUAACGGUGAAGCUCUAUUUUAGAAAAACAUUUUGUUUCUGUUUAGCCCCGCCAUUUUUCCUUUUCAACCUCUGUCUAGAUGUAAGUCUUUUAGCAGUAUUAACAUUGGGACAAUGGUGAAGGGGGCCUGGAGGGGCACAGAUUUUCCAUGUCAGGUUGCAGCAGUGUAUCUGCAGUAAACAAUGCAAUAAAGCUUAACCAAGAUGUGUUUCUACUUUAUCUUAUCCUACUGUAGCUCCAUAAGCUUUCUUAUAACAGGCAAGGUAAACAGCAGCUGCAUCCACAAUCCCUUACUGAGGAUGCAUGGAAAACAAAACAGAAAGAAAUGGAGAGAGUAGUUGA
Long non-coding RNA from Sceloporus undulatus (fence lizard), 1003 nucleotides. RefSeq lists it as uncharacterized. The transcript has 5 exons. The record is from RefSeq and is a predicted model, not a curated record. Lineage: Eukaryota; Metazoa; Chordata; Lepidosauria; Squamata; Phrynosomatidae.